GAUGAACGCUGGCGGCGUGCCUAAUACAUGCAAGUCGAGCGAACAGACGAGGAGCUUGCUCCUUUGACGUUAGCGGCGGACGGGUGAGUAACACGUGGGUAACCUACCUAUAAGACUGGGAUAACUUCGGGAAACCGGAGCUAAUACUGGAUAAUAUUUCGAACCGCAUGGUUCGAUAGUGAAAGAUGGCUUUGCUAUCGCUUAUAGAUGGACCUGCGCCGUAUUAGCUAGUUGGUAAGGUAACGGCUUACCAAGGCAACGAUACGUAGCCGACCUGAGAGGGUGAUCCGCCACACUGGAACUGAGACACGGUCCAGACUCCUACGGGAGGCAGCAGUAGGGAAUCUUCCGCAAUGGGCGAAAGCCUGACGUAGCAACGCCGCGUGAGUGAUGAAGGUCUUCGGAUCGUAAAACUCUGUUAUUGGGGAAGAACAAACGUGUAAUUAACUGUGCACGUCUUGACGGUACCUAAUCAGAAAGCCACGGCUAACUACGUG
This 497-nucleotide ribosomal RNA is filed under the name uncultured bacterium. Its description in RNAcentral is "partial 16S ribosomal RNA". It matches the Rfam family "Bacterial small subunit ribosomal RNA", at positions 28 to 507 of the family's 1533-position model. The record is from RNAcentral.